CUGGAAUUAAAAAGGUUUUGAAACACACUUUGUAACAGUAUAUAUAUGUACAUAUAUAUUUGUGUGGUCAUACAGGUUUUGACAAAAAGAGUUAAAUACAAAAAGUUGGCAUUUGGUAAAGUAUUGAGAAUGUAAAAUCCAGAAAGUAUAGUAGCAUAGAAAUGAUAUACUCCCGAUUUAAGGAGAAAGAUGCACUAAAUCCUGCUGGGGGUGUUGAAAAUGCUAAUGCUAUAAAGUCAGGCAAACAUCUUAAUUUUUAUCAUGUUUUACUUUUUCACAAGCAGGAAUUCUAGGCUUUUCUACAUGAUGCAUGAGGAUUGGAACAGAAAGGGAGAAAAAAUAGAAGAAAGAGCACUCCAAAACAAAGCAGGGUUCUAUCAUCUGUACACAUUCAACAUGGAAACUGGAAGGCUGCCAGGGCUUAGGAUGAGAGACCAACUGUGUGUGCUUGAGUAAAGGGCUCUCUCUCUGAGAACCACAGCAGUGGCCUGAGAGCCGGCCUGUGUCAGAUGACUGGAAAUGAAGCCUGGCAUAAGCAGGACAUUUGCUUGGUUUCUACAUUAAGCAAGAACUCUGGAACAGGAUUACAACACUUAGGGACAAAUACGAAUAAAAUCAAUUGUGUUACCAAA
Molecule: long non-coding RNA, 632 nt
Organism: Panthera uncia (snow leopard)
Lineage: Eukaryota; Metazoa; Chordata; Mammalia; Carnivora; Felidae
Exons: 2
Source: RefSeq, a predicted model, not a curated record